AAUGAACGCUGGCGGCAGGCCUAACACAUGCAAGUCGAACGGGUCCUUCGGGACUAGUGGCGGACGGGUGAGUAACGCGUGGGAACGUGCCCCUUGGUACGGAAUAGCCCCGGGAAACUGGGAGUAAUACCGUAUGUGGUCGAGAGACGAAAGAUUUAUCGCCGAAGGAUUAGCCCGCGUUGGAUUAGGUAGUUGGUGGGGUAAUGGCCUACCAAGCCGACGAUCCAUAGCUGGUUUGAGAGGAUGAUCAGCCACACUGGGACUGAGACACGGCCCAGACUCCUACGGGAGGCAGCAGUGGGGAAUCUUAGACAAUGGGGGAAACCCUGAUCUAGCCAUGCCGCGUGAGCGAUGAAGGCCUUAGGGUUGUAAAGCUCUUUCAGUGGGGAAGAUAAUGACUGUACCCACAGAAGAAGCCCCGGCUAACUCCGUG
RNAcentral lists this ribosomal RNA (433 nucleotides) under uncultured bacterium. RNAcentral's name for it is "bacterial SSU rRNA". It matches the Rfam family "Bacterial small subunit ribosomal RNA", at positions 29 to 507 of the family's 1533-position model. The record is from RNAcentral.